Molecule: ribosomal RNA, 253 nt
Filed under: uncultured bacterium
Lineage: Bacteria
Description: partial 16S ribosomal RNA
Rfam family: Bacterial small subunit ribosomal RNA
Source: RNAcentral
UACGUAGGGUGCGAGCGUUGUCCGGAAUUACUGGGCGUAAAGAGCUCGUAGGUGGUUUGUCGCGUUGUCCGUGAAAACUCACAACUCAAUUGUGGGCGUGCGGGCGAUACGGGCAGACUGGAGUACUGCAGGGGAGACUGGAAUUCAUGGUGUAGCAGUGAAAUGCGUAGAGAUCAUGAGGAAGACCAGUGGCGAAGGCGGGUCUCGGGACAGUUCCUGACACUGAGGCACGAAGGCCAGGGGAGCAAACGGG